This 930-nucleotide long non-coding RNA is filed under the name Homo sapiens (human). RNAcentral describes it as "long intergenic non-protein coding RNA 1141". Lineage: Eukaryota; Metazoa; Chordata; Mammalia; Primates; Hominidae. The record is from RNAcentral.
GUGGACAGGAGGAGGACCUAAGUGGACCCGGAGGCUGAGCUGGCCUCGCAGCACUGGUGGUGGGGGAGGGCUGAUGGUCAGGACUCUGGGUCUUUGGCACUGCUGCCUAGGCCGUGGCCCUCAGUCUGCCCAUCUGUGAAAUGAGGGGGAGCUGGUCCUGACUGCCUCCCAGGGACCCUGUGAAAAGCCGCUCUGAACUCCUUGCCAGAGAGGAGGUUUGCCGGUGCCACAAUCCAGGACUCCACAGCCAUCAACUUCCCUUCAUCCUUGCCGUGUCUUUGAAAGACUGGAUGAUGAGAGGCACAGCUGAGUCCGGAGCAGACUGAGCCACCUAAGAGGGGAGGAACCGCUGCAGAGAAACCGUGUUAAGCCUUUUUGAAGUUCCAGAGGGAGAACAAGAGAGCGGAGGCUCCUGGUGGCUGGUGACAGGAGCCUGCAGAGCCACUGCCCUGACAGGGGACACCUCACUUCCUCUCCUUGCAGCUGCUCUUGGCUGGGAGAGCAGAGAACAGGGGACAGGAGAGAAGCCCCGAGAGUACUGAAGCUGAGGCUGGGGCGGUCUUCACUUCCCUCUUUCCUCGGCCCUUUUCCUGUUCUCUUGUCUUGUCUCUCUUUCUCUACUUUCCUUCUCCCUAGCCCAGUCUCUCACCGCUCUUCAGCCUCUGGGCCUUUCCUUCUUCCUCUCUUGCCCUCAUUCUUCCUUCUCUGUCCCUCUUGUCUUCUCUUUUACCUCUUCUCUUCUUCCCUCCUUCCUACAGCUAUGCCCUCUUCCCUCCUUUCUCUUGUCCCCAACCAGGGCAUUAGAAAUGCAUUCCAGUUACACUGAUCUGAUCACUGCAUAUUGUAUGCAUGCAUCAAAAUAUCACAUGUACCCCAGAAAUAUGUAAAUUACUGCAUAUCAAUAAAAAGAAAUGUAGCUUCUUUGCCUCA